Molecule: long non-coding RNA, 301 nt
Filed under: Ananas comosus (pineapple)
Lineage: Eukaryota; Viridiplantae; Streptophyta; Magnoliopsida; Poales; Bromeliaceae
Description: long non-coding RNA (ACOM_LNC016709)
Source: RNAcentral
CCAUUUGAAUGGUUCCGGUGAAGUUCGGUGAAAUUCGGGAGCACUCGGGCGUUUCGGUGCCCGUAGGUGCGAAAACAGAACCCGAAAGGCUAUGUUGGACAAAGAACUAAAUUCGGCAUUAGCGUGGAUGAAAAGAGGAUUUAAAUAUGCUCGAAAAUAUAUUUUGAGAGUCUCGGUGCGAUUUGAAAAGAAUCGGAGACCAAACGAGUGAAAACGAGCGAAAACGGAAAAGAAAAGCUGAAAAUGCUGAAAAUUUGGCUAAGUCUGGAAAUGUAGAAUUUUUGGACCUACGGGGUCCGGU